Molecule: small nuclear RNA, 191 nt
Filed under: Salmo salar (Atlantic salmon)
Lineage: Eukaryota; Metazoa; Chordata; Actinopteri; Salmoniformes; Salmonidae
Description: U2 spliceosomal RNA (ENSSSAG00000084723.1, ENSSSAG00000091257.1, ENSSSAG00000107251.1, ENSSSAG00000112563.1)
Rfam family: U2 spliceosomal RNA
About the family: U2 is a small nuclear RNA (snRNA) component of the spliceosome (involved in pre-mRNA splicing). Complementary binding between U2 snRNA (in an area lying towards the 5' end but 3' to hairpin I) and the branchpoint sequence (BPS) of the intron results the bulging out of an unpaired adenosine, on the BPS, which initiates a nucleophilic attack at the intronic 5' splice site, thus starting the first of two transesterification reactions that mediate splicing.
Source: RNAcentral
AUCGCUUCUCGGCCUUUUGGCUCAGAUCAAGUGUAGUAUCUGUUCUUAUCAGUUUAAUAUCCGAUACGUCCCCCAUCGGGGGACUACAUAUUAAAUGGAUUUUUCGAACAGGGAGUCGGAAAUGGGGCUUGCUCCGUCCGCUCCACGCAUCGACCCGGUAUUGCAGUACCUCCGGGAAUGGUGCAACACUU